Molecule: long non-coding RNA, 1530 nt
Organism: Pseudopipra pipra
Lineage: Eukaryota; Metazoa; Chordata; Aves; Passeriformes; Pipridae
Exons: 2
Source: RefSeq, a predicted model, not a curated record
AUAUGAUAGGUAGGAAGGAAAUUCUGUACUAGCCUUUAAGAGUAGAAAUCAAUCUGCUUUUGACAUCAAGAAUGAGAAAUGGGUUUAAACAGUCACAGGAAGUGUUUGGCCUCAGGGUCUUUCUGUCUCUGUCCCUUACAAAGCAUUACUGAAAUCUGUGGUGGGAACCCCCUGCUAAGGUUACAGGUUAAUCAGGCUGAAGGGUUUAAAGUAAACAAUUGCCCAGAGUACUGCAGUGCGUGCAGGCAGGCCAGCCAUGUGCAAGUGUGUCACUGCAUCCAGGCAGUUCCUCUGCUAUUGCAAAUGCUACAGUAGAGGAGGUUUUCUGGUGCUUUCACCCAUUCUACCAGUUUUAAUAUACUCUCUGAUGCUUUCCUGGAGAUCCCUGUAGCCUGUGCUGAGUGGUUUUUUUCUUGUCAAGACAACUGUAAUUGAUAAAAACAAACAAGGAUGGAAAUGUUACAGCAUUCCUCUCAGCAAUCCUGGCUGUUUAUAACCUGCCCUUCCCCAGUCAGGUUUAUGUUGAAAUCUUUACGCUUCCCUCACAGCCUGGCCAACUCUUCAGAGCUUUGUUCUUUUGUUCCUUCAUUCAUGUUAUUCGCUGCCCCAGAUCAAAUACAGUCUUGGAAGUUGGGAACUGAGUGGAAAGGAAGGGCAUUUGAGUGACAGAGUCUCUGCUGCUGCUGAAUUGCUUUGAUGCUUCUGCAGCCCCCUGUUUCUUGCAGGGGGCACUUCCCAGCAGAGCCUGAACUGCUGUUGAAAAUGCAUUUUGAGCUCUCAACCAAAGCAGAAAAUCAAAACAAGAGCAAACCCAGUGUGGACUCUGGCAAAGAUCACCCUCUCUUCAUAUAUAAAGAGAAGCAUUAAGCCUGACCUCAUAAAAGAGAGAACUUAAAGGACCGUUCUGCACUUUGAAAUCCUACCCUCAGUGGCAUGGAAACAAAACGCUGAGUUGGGAAUUUCAGCAGCUCCUUGCACGUUUGCUCAGCCCGCUGCGCUUCCUGAGCGUGAAUCGCCCAUUGCAUCAUCCCAGGGAAAGGGAGGUUAUUGGGUCACUGCCUGCCCUUAUAAUCUGCUCCAUAAGGAACUCCUCAAGGGUACAGACCAGUGCCCAGAAUAAUAUUUAAUAAGAUCUGGAAAAUGAUGGCUGCUGCAAGCAGAGGCCUUAGGGACGUUUGCAGGAGGCCACUGUUUGGAUGAGUUAGCAGCACAGCCCCUCUGUAACCAUCAAACAGCUGCUGCCAGGAGCCAAGGAGGGGAAGAGCUGAGAGCCCAGAUGACUUUGGUUGGAGCUUGGUGCAGUUCUUAACAUAUAGGCCUGAGCUAAAUGGAGAAGGAACAGUACCUGGACUGUGUACCAGACCAUAAAGGACAAUGCCAUGGCUUUGUUCUUCAGUUGGAUUUCCCCAGGGAUCCUGGGAUUUAAAGAAACUUCCCACCAGUGGACAAAUGCCAUGACAGACAAGAGUCAACUUACUGACAGCAGGAAGUGUUGUCCCUGUGGGAACUCAAAUACACUGUGCCCUGCAA